AAAGAGCACGGGAAAAAUAAUGUUUCAUUCCUUUGUCUUUUCAUGUUGGGUAAAGUGGAAGAGUGCAUUCAGCUAUUGGUUGACAGCAAUCGGCUACCUGAGGCUGCAUUUAUGGCGCGAUCUUAUUUACCGAGUAAAGUAUCUGAAAUAGUUGAGAUUUG
Long non-coding RNA from Ipomoea triloba (trilobed morning glory), 161 nucleotides. RefSeq lists it as uncharacterized. The record is from RefSeq and is a predicted model, not a curated record. NCBI's taxonomy places the organism in Eukaryota, Viridiplantae, Streptophyta, Magnoliopsida, Solanales, Convolvulaceae. The transcript is spliced from 2 exons.